This 238-nucleotide ribosomal RNA is filed under the name uncultured bacterium. RNAcentral describes it as "partial 16S ribosomal RNA". It matches the Rfam family "Bacterial small subunit ribosomal RNA", at positions 96 to 334 of the family's 1533-position model. The record is from RNAcentral.
UGGCGGACGGGUGGGUAACGCGUGGGUAACCUGCCUCAUACAGGGGGAUAACAGUUAGAAAUGACUGCUAAUACCGCAUAAGACCACAGUACCGCAUGGUACAGAGGUAAAAACUCCGGUGGUAUGAGAUGGACCCGCGUCUGAUUAGGUAGUUGGUGGGGUAACGGCCUACCAAGCCGACGAUCAGUAGCCGACCUGAGAGGGUGACCGGCCACAUUGGGACUGAGACACGGCCCAA